RNAcentral lists this long non-coding RNA (1726 nucleotides) under Eucalyptus grandis. Its description in RNAcentral is "long non-coding RNA (EGRA_LNC000261)". The record is from RNAcentral. Lineage: Eukaryota; Viridiplantae; Streptophyta; Magnoliopsida; Myrtales; Myrtaceae.
UCAGGCCGCUCUAGCCACACAAAUAGGAUAGUGGGCUUACCUCGCCUCAGUCCCUUUCCUACACAUCAGGACAAUUCAUAUUCAACAAUACUCACACAAGCUGAAACUACCGACAUACCCAUCGGUCUAUCAAUUCAGUCAAUCCAAUUGAUAUCAUACGAUCCACACAUCUAUCAAUUCAUAUAAUCUAUUAAACCAUACCAUCUAUUCAUCCAUCAAUACAAUUACGGCUCGCACAAGCUGAAAUGGAUGCAAUGCUCUCACAAGCUGAUAUAGAUGGUAGUUCGCACAAGCUGAUAUAUACAUAAAUGAUAGCUCGCGCAAGCUGAUAUAUGGAUCGUUGCUCUCACAAGCUGAUAAAUUAUCAUUGCUCUCACAAGCUGACAUACAGUGCUCACACAAGCUGACAAUGAUGCUCACACAAGCUUAUACAUAUAUAAACCAAUUGCUCGCCAAAGCUGAUAAUUCAAUAAUAAACCAACUCAUACCUCAAUUCAAUCAAUCAAUCAAUCCAAUCGAUUCAAACUAGUCAUACAAAUCAAUUACGGUGCUAAAAGCCAACACCGGGUAUUUUCAAGUUAAAUAACACAACUUCAUCAAUUUCACACAAUUCCACACUUUUGGAAUUAUUAACCAUAAUCAUCAAUCACUCAAUUUCUCAAUUUAAACAUACAAUUAACACAAAUCGACCGCACUGCUGCGAUCAGCGCGAAAUUCUAACGACCGGCCAUCCCGGCAUAAUUUUCGAAAUUAUUAAAUAAUUAAAUUUAAUUCCGAAAAUUAAAUAAUUAAAUAUUAUUUUAUAAUAAUAUAAUUUAAUAAAAUAAUAUUUAUAAAUUAGAAAUAAUUAUUUAAUUAAAAAUAAUUAAUUAGGGCUUAAACUAGAUUACACUAAUUUAAACAUACAAUUAGCUCUAAUUAAACAUCCAUUAAACUAAUCACACAACUAAUCUAAUUUAUAUUAAAAUAAUCUAAUCUAACCACCUAAACCUAAUUAGACUAAUCUAAACACCCAUUAAGCAUCAUUAACUCACUAAGCAAGAAUUAGAUUAUAAACUCACCGGUUUUGCGCGCCGGUGAGUUCACGGCGACCACGACGCCAAGGCGGUCGAUAAAUUCCAAAGCGGCGACACCAACGGAGGCCGGGAAGGUCUUGAAAAUGGGCCACAAAGUCUCCAAAACCUUGCUGUCUUCUGCUUCUGAUCUGGACUGAACUGCAGAGAAGAAACCAGCAACUUCAACGGUGAAAAUGGGCCGAUCGGAGCUCCGGCAAGCGGGUGGUUGGCAACCAAUGGCUCCAGGGGGGUCUUGAGGAUCUUGUAGGAGGUUGGGAUGGGCAAAGGAAGGGUCGGAAAGGGGAAAAACAGCAAGAAAACGCAGAACAGGCGGAGCAGGGUGGAACCAGACGGUCCGGCGAGUGGCAGCUUCUCUCAGGAUUUCGGGACAACUGGAGAAUCGUUCCGGCGAGCAGCAGGAUGCUCCGGAACGGGCUGGAUGUCCUCGUCACGGACGUGGGUGGAGCGUUCGCUGAUUCAUCUGGGAAGUCGACUUUUAACUCGAAUCUUUGGCGAAAGGUCAGCUGGAGCAAAAAUUGAAACGAGGAGAAAACAGAGGAAGAAAUGGAGUCCGAUGGGCAUGCGACGGUGGAGGGCUGUUGCUGCUCGGUUUCUCUGGUUUUUGCUGAGCUUCUCUCCUUCAACAAUAAUGGAGAAAGCCACAAAUUAAG